This 577-nucleotide ribosomal RNA is filed under the name uncultured bacterium. RNAcentral describes it as "bacterial SSU rRNA". It matches the Rfam family "Bacterial small subunit ribosomal RNA", at positions 102 to 666 of the family's 1533-position model. The record is from RNAcentral.
ACGGGUGAGUAACACGUAGGCAACCUGCCCUCAAGUUUGGGACAACUACCGGAAACGGUAGCUAAUACCGAAUAGUUGUUUUCUUCGCCUGAAGGAAACUGGAAAGACGGAGCAAUCUGUCACUUGGGGAUGGGCCUGCGGCGCAUUAGCUAGUUGGUGGGGUAACGGCUCACCAAGGCGACGAUGCGUAGCCGACCUGAGAGGGUGAUCGGCCACACUGGGACUGAGACACGGCCCAGACUCCUACGGGAGGCAGCAGUAGGGAAUCUUCCGCAAUGGGCGAAAGCCUGACGGAGCAAUGCCGCGUGAGUGAUGAAGGUUUUCGGAUCGUAAAGCUCUGUUGCCAGGGAAGAACGCUUGGGAGAGUAACUGCUCUCAAGGUGACGGUACCUGAGAAGAAAGCCCCGGCUAACUACGUGCUAGCAGCCGCGGUAAUACGUAGGGGGCAAGCGUUGUCCGGAAUUAUUGGGCGUAAAGCGCGCGCAGGCGGUCAUUUAAGUCUGGUGUUUAAUCCCGGGGCUCAACCCCGGAUCGCACUGGAAACUGGGUGACUUGAGUGCAGAAGAGGAGAGUGGAA